This 21-nucleotide non-coding RNA is filed under the name Arabidopsis thaliana (thale cress). Lineage: Eukaryota; Viridiplantae; Streptophyta; Magnoliopsida; Brassicales; Brassicaceae. The record is from RNAcentral.
AGGCGAAACUUAGAGGUCGCC